This 83-nucleotide non-coding RNA is filed under the name Lentibacillus amyloliquefaciens. RNAcentral's name for it is "c-di-GMP sequence". It matches the Rfam family "c-di-GMP-I riboswitch aptamer". From Rfam's summary of the family: GEMM was predicted in a large-scale screen for bacterial structured RNA regulatory elements. The record is from Rfam by way of RNAcentral. Lineage: Bacteria; Bacillati; Bacillota; Bacilli; Caryophanales; Bacillaceae.
CUUAGAAAAAAGCAUACUGUUGAAAAAAAGGAUGCAAAGUCACGGGUCUAAAGCAUUAUUGCCAUGGCGUCCGGACUGCCUGG